This 365-nucleotide unclassified non-coding RNA is filed under the name Hevea brasiliensis (rubber tree). Lineage: Eukaryota; Viridiplantae; Streptophyta; Magnoliopsida; Malpighiales; Euphorbiaceae. The record is from RNAcentral.
UUUAUUUAUUUAUUUAUUUUUAAUAAACUUUCCCUUUUAUUUGUUUCUCUCCCUCUCUUUAUUCUUGGUCUUCUCUGUCUUCUUUCUUUCAUUGUAUUAUUGUGAUUAUUAUCAUCAUUUCUUUGGAUAGCACAAAGAGGAUUUGGACUUUCUAAUCUUCCUUCUCCUUCCUACCAAAUGGGGCUACUGCUCAGCCACACUUUUAAGUAACUUCUUUUUCUUUUUAUUUCUUUGUUUUUUAUUUCAUAAUUUUUAAAAUGACUGCAAUUGUUUUAAUUGCAUGAUAAUAUAUCAUUUAUUAUGAUGAAGUCUCUACCUAUAGCAAUGCAUGCCUAUGUAGCACGGAAACGGGAGACGGGAGCGUU